This 141-nucleotide small nucleolar RNA is filed under the name Dasypus novemcinctus (nine-banded armadillo). Its description in RNAcentral is "Small nucleolar RNA SNORA67 (ENSDNOG00000036360.1)". It matches the Rfam family "Small nucleolar RNA SNORA67". From Rfam's summary of the family: U67 belongs to the H/ACA class of snoRNAs which are thought to guide the sites of modification of uridines to pseudouridines. The record is from RNAcentral. Lineage: Eukaryota; Metazoa; Chordata; Mammalia; Cingulata; Dasypodidae.
GUCCAAGGUGAUUCCCUCUCCAAGGGGCCACCUAAUGCCCCUCUCAAGAAAGUAGCAACUUGGAAUAAAACCUGGCAAGCCCAGGGUUUUCCAGAGAGAGGGGAUGAUUUUCCUUUUGCCUUCCUUUGGCUGCCUACAUGC